UUGGAAACAUCAGUUUCCCCACUACUAGAUUCAUCGAGGCAAAUGCGAACUCUAGUGCUCAAUAUUUGAAAAUAAACGUUAGCCAGUCUUUCCUUGUAUGUCAUUGUGCGAAGUUGUUCGUUUGGCGUAGUUCGUAAUAAUCCACAGAUUAUUGGUUUCAAAUGGUUUUUUAAACCAAUAUGCAUUAACUGUGAGUGACUAUGUACCUGUUGAGUGGAAUGAAAUUAUCCUGCAACUGGAUAAUGCAAGAGCACUUAGCAACUGUACGAUUUCGAAUUACCUACGAUCGAAAAUUCUGGAACUAUGCCCCAUGGAUAUAGCCGUGUAAUCGUACUGUUGACUUUUAACCGCUAUGAUGGAUCAAGCAUCUUCAUUACGUAAAAAGAAAGAAAUAAGUUCAAGGAUGAGAAAAUUAUAGAGGUAUUUUUAGCAACUUUAUAUCCUGACACGCAUACUGUCGUUCAAGGAUCGAAUGAGUAAUUUUCGCAAUUACGAUCGAAUCUGCUUAACCCGCUUCUGUAAAGGGUUUAAACCGAAUUAAAGCCUCAAAUACCGCGUAACAAGCGCGUAAAUUAAUUAGAACGAUGUUCACCUCGUUACAAAGUAUUUCGACCAUUAGAGAUUAAAGUUUGAGUUAGAGAUCCGACCAAAAUUAAACGAAGUUAGGCCCGGGCCAGCUUGUGGACAUAGAUGUGACUAACUAGGAGCCACGCUUCCUGAAGGCAGCUAAACUCGAUUACAUGUCCACGAGACUUUCGUCCGGUCUCGUAAGGAUCGCAAAAGGCACCGCUGAGAUAAUCGAAUGGUCUGUCCUUUUGUAACUAUCCUACGGCGAUCCCUGCGGUCGGUCACAGGAUGACAUACUCUUAUGUCUAGCCACCAUGACAAAUAUCACGUCUGGGAACAAUUUAAACACAUUAACUUGGUCGGACCACGUUCGUAUAUUUUAUAUAUAUAUAUACAUAUAAAUGGAAGUAAGGUAAGGCAAAAAGAAACGAUAAAUUCGAGACAAUGAAUAAAUUGGAGAUUCGGUAACAAAGAUAUCCAUUAUUAUCUGGUAUCUUAUAAUGCAAAUGUUUCGAUUGUGUAUCAAUGUUUCGCAAUGUAAAUUUGCUUCCACUUUGGUAUGCUCUUAUUUCGUUCCUUCUUAUCGUUGAUCUGAAUUCAAGUAUAGAAUAAUAUUAUAUUAUAUAUAUUUUGUAAUUUCUGGUAUUAUUAUUUAA
This is a long non-coding RNA of Bombus terrestris (buff-tailed bumblebee), 1223 nucleotides long. RefSeq lists it as uncharacterized. The transcript is spliced from 3 exons. Lineage: Eukaryota; Metazoa; Arthropoda; Insecta; Hymenoptera; Apidae. The record is from RefSeq and is a predicted model, not a curated record.